Long non-coding RNA from Lycium ferocissimum, 2847 nucleotides. RefSeq lists it as uncharacterized. Lineage: Eukaryota; Viridiplantae; Streptophyta; Magnoliopsida; Solanales; Solanaceae. The record is from RefSeq and is a predicted model, not a curated record. The transcript has 3 exons.
UUACAAAAGACAUAUUGUUAUAAAGUUGGUUGUUGUUAUUGCAGGUAAAAUAUUGUUAUAGAGAAGUAAAAUGUAACAUAAAAAUCGUGAAAAGGUGUUGUUAUAUGCGUAUACUGUUAUAGAGAGGUCUGAUUGCAUCAAUAAAAUUAUAGAAACUAAUUCACUAAAUUCGCUCAACUUUACAUGUUGUAUCAGUACAACCACAAAAUUAAUUUUUGUAUCAUUAAAGUCAACAAAUAUGUAUUAUUACCCAUAAAGUAUAAUUCAUUGGAAAGUCAAAUUUUCGGCACCAAAAAAUAACAUGUCAACAAUUAUUUUAAUUUCCUUUAAAAUAUCCAACUGCAACGAAAAUGCAUUCCUUGAAUAUCUCGUGAAGGACUACAAUUCCAUCCAAAACGCAAAGUUGAUGCUCACUUCUAAUGGGAAACUUUUCAUAGGUGAAUGACACAUAUAUACAUAAUAAGAAAAGUAUUUACGGAAUAUGACGAAACUUUUUAAUUUACAAAACAUAACAGAUUUCUUCUUUCAUACAGAUUAAUUUUCUUAAAAAAAUAAAAAAAAAUCUAACAAAAAGUAUAUUUUUUCCCGCUUAAGGCUUAAAAAAUUCACUCAAACUUUUGUGUAUGAAAAUUGUAUGAAAUGUGUAUAGCUCGCUCAAGGCUUAAAAGUUCGCUCAAAAUUUAGUAUAUGAAAUGUGUAUAUCUCGCUCAAGGCUUAAAAAGUUCGCUCAAAAGUUAGUGUAUUAAAUAUGCAUAUCUCGUUCAAGGCUUAAAUUUUACACUCAAAAUCUAUGAAAACGGUAUGAAAUAUUUAUAUUUGGCACAAGACUUAGAAUUUGCACACAUUCUUUCAUGUAUAAAGUUCGUGUUAGGUUUCUGAAAAAUUAAUACAACUACAACAACAUUGUAUAUAACUUUUAUAUAAUAUUCAAGGCUUAAAAAUUUCGCUUCAGUUAUGUAAUCCAAGUUCUGUCAAAUUGUUGCUCUCCUCUCUUCUUUGGAAUGGCUUGAAUUGUUUGCAUAUCAUAUGUUACUCCACAAGUCGAGACACACGGGUAAUAUAUAGUGCAUUAUUGCAAAUCAAGAAAUAUACAUGGGAUUGCUGACUCUCUGCUUUGAUGGGCAAGAACCAAGUGAUGUUGGAAAUCUUACGGAAAAUACUUGGUCACGAACUUUAUCGGAAAAUACUUGAUUACGAACCUUGCAGGAAAUUCUUAAAAGCUUGAGGUAUGUCAAUUAAGACACUGUUCUUAAGGAUAUUUCACCCGAUAUGAGUGUAUUCCCAGUAUUCAACAAGCUCUUCUAGUACAUAACUAGGAGCUAGAAUCUAACAAAGAUUCAAUAAAAAGAAAACCUAGCACAACACAAUAUAAAAGAGAUAAUACUUCUUUGUAUACAUCAUCCACUAAAGAGAAGGACUACUAACAUAUGUUAUAGAAGAACUCAAAUGGUUGCAGCCAAAUAAUGCCCCAAAGAUGAUUCCCAAGUAACGGUAAUAUAAUAAUAAUAGUCAUUGAAUGUAUUAAAUUGAUAAAUGAGUAAGUACACAUUUAACACAAAUCAGCAAACGGACAACAGUGCCUUUCAAUAGUCAAAUAUGGCUAAUUAAGUAAUGCAGUAAAAACCAAUUAAUAAGAUAUUAAUAGUAUGGAUUUAGGCAACUUUGACCAUUUCUUUUUGAGAUACUAAAAUAAUUUUUUCAACAAGUGAAACAAAAGGUUGUCAACAUUUUUACUAUAUGAAAGUUAUCCCUUUUUUUUUUUUUUUUUUUUUUUUUUUAAAUCUUUCAAGAAAUACCGUCAUCACAACCAUGUGAAAGCUCUUCAGGUAAUGAGGUUAUCGAGAAAUUCCAAUGUAACACGAAGUUGGAUCUUCGCUUGCAAAGAGUUUGAAUUGUGAUGUAGGGUGGUGGAAUUCACGCCACCAAUAAGCAUUUGGAGCUGAGGGUUCCUGUAUCUAAAAUGUUCAAAUAGGUGCUACUAAUUUGGCCUCGUUUGCAACAGUAUAGUCCUCUUGUGCCUAUUAAUACAUAAGUGCAGGACAAAUUUGGUGCAAGAAAAAUGUACUAGUCUUAAUGUGAAUACGAAAGCUGCAGUGUUGCACUCAAGCAACAAUUCCACUAAGAAGAAGUAUAAAGUUGUGAUUGUAUAAGGGGAAGCUGAAAGAAUUAAUCCAAAUGUGCAAGAGCCACUAGGUAUAUGGCUAUCGGCCUCCUUCACUGAUGAGCACACUUCUCCCGUUCCUCCAUCAAGAAUCUUGUAGGGCUCCUUAUCGAUUCCCACAGUUUGAUGCCAAAGUUGAUGGAGGUGCUAAGGAUAUCAACUUUCGUGAAGGUGGCAACUUUAAGUCCAUUGAAUAUAGAAGCGAUGAGCAUAAUGAAGAGAAGGCUGUUGAUUGAAGGUGAUGCCUUGGCAGACAAACACGAAAAAGUUAACUUAUGCGCUGAAGUUUGAGUAGUUACUCUUGACUUUGGUGCAGGAAUCUGAGAGAACUGGACUCGAGAGAAAGUGAAGUGGAAGACCUGACCGGCAAUUGGCUUAGUCAUAUUCCCGAUAGCGACACAUCGCUCAUCUCACUUAACAUUUCUUGUUUGUCGUCUGAGGUCGAUUUCUCGCCUUCGGAGCGUCUAAUUUCCCACUCUCCUAAUUUGAGGACUCUUCGGCUCAACCGUGUCGUGAACCUCGAGAAGCUUCCUAACAUUCUUCGCCACGCUACCUAGUUGGUUGAGUUUGGUACAGGGCCUACUUUGCUGGUAUACAGGCUCAUCCUGGCGAAAUUCAGGUAAACGUGCAUUAUGCUUUUCAAGACUGCUACCAACUAGAGAGAAUGAGUGGAUUUUGGUCUUUUG